AUGACUGGUGAUGCACGUCUGCGGUUGCUCAACUCCGUACUCUCAGCAAUCUCGGUCUACCUGAUUACAAUUUUCAAGCUGGGUGCAUGGGCCAUCAAAAAAAUUGACAAGUUAGGAAGAAACUUCCUUUGGAGAUCAAAGCCCGACACGGAUGGAGGAAUUGCAUUGGUUAACUGGUCCACCGCCUGCCGCCCCAAAAGCCUCGGUGGACUCGGCAUCAUUGACCUGAAGCGCUUUGGUAGGGCCCUGCGCCUAUGAUGGAAAUGGCUGGAAUGGCGUGCGCAAGACAGGCCUUGGAUCGGAUCUCCCAUCCCUUGUGACAGAGACGACCUGGCCCUUUUCUCUGCUACCACUAAAAUCUCCAUUGGUGCCAGAACACAGGCCAAGUUCUGGCAUGAUCGCUGGCUCGCUGGCGACGCACCUGCUGAGAUUGCAUCGGACUUGCUCCGACUAUGUUACAGGAAAAACCUCACUGUUGAGAAGGCACUAAAUGGACAACACUGGUUGUCAGGUCUGCACCGCAUUUCUUCUGAAUCUGAGAUGCGACAGUUCACCAAUCCCUGGGUAAGGCUGCGCAACAUUGUUCUUGAUCCGGCAUGGCCUGAUGAGAUCACCUGGAGCCACAACACUGCUGCAACCUACACCACGAGGUUGGCUUACCGCUGCCAAUUCCUUGGCUCCAUUGCGAAUGCCAACUAUGAUAAACUCUGGAAGUCCAAGGUCGAGGCAAAGUGUAGGUUUUUCUUCUAG
Molecule: ribosomal RNA, 750 nt
Filed under: Triticum aestivum (bread wheat)
Lineage: Eukaryota; Viridiplantae; Streptophyta; Magnoliopsida; Poales; Poaceae
Description: partial small subunit ribosomal RNA
Source: RNAcentral